This is a non-coding RNA of Zootermopsis nevadensis, 1538 nucleotides long. NCBI's taxonomy places the organism in Eukaryota, Metazoa, Arthropoda, Insecta, Blattodea, Termopsidae. The record is from RefSeq and is a predicted model, not a curated record.
CUUGGGGUCACUGAGGUACUCGAGCCCCACCACCACGACAAGGUAGAAUUUGAAGUUCUCAUGGUGGUGAGUACAACAGAUCUGCUAGUUCAUCCCCUAAGCAUUUAUGGUUUCAAGAUUUCUCAUUGUUUUUAAUUAAUUGAUUUCAGUAAUAAUAGGUGUUGAAAACGUGGCGUGACGUGAAUAAAGAAGCAUUUAUUAUAAUCAGUCAGGGUGCAGAGGACAUUUGUUGGAGCAGGUUAAGUUUUGUUCCAAAUUUCUCUUAUUUUGAAUAAUUUUGGUGUAAAGAAUUGUUAUUAAGUGACAGUAACAUUAACACUUGAAUUAUAGUACGCCUACAGUGCAGAUCAAAAUAUUUAGAAAUAAUUGUAUUUAUAAGAUAUAAGUUAUGUUUGAGUUGCCAAGAAUCUCAGUUGUGAUAACUGAUAGCUUCCAGUAACUUUAUUUGUAGUUGCCACCUUAAAAUACCUAUUCUGCUGUGAUAAAGGUUAAAAUAAUAUAUUUGUUUUCUUUAAUAACGUAGGUUUGCCACUGCAAUAUCUGGGUAGCUCUAUUUGUUGCGGACCGAAGACUUUCUACUUCCGGAUUUUAUCUAAUGUGACCCAAAAAUAUUUUUUGAGAUAAUUUGAGUAUCCUAAAUAUUGUUUUAUUCAGUGCCCAUUGGUUGAUGUAGUUUAUGUAAGGAAGCUAUACGUAAACCAGUUUUAUUUUCAGAUUUAUAAGUAUAAUUCUUAUUGAGAUUGUCUGAAAAUUGAUGAAAGAGUUACAGUUUUGUAUGUCUAGUUGCAGUUAGAAUUGUAUAUGAGUAGAAAAAUGUAAAUAUACAGGAGAUGAGAUAUUCUGUUAUGUCAGUAAAAACUAAAUUUGAAUUGCAAGUUGUGAAUUGUAUAUAUGCGCGACAACUUGUAAAAAAAAUUUAUUGUUGAUAUUCUUUGAAUUGUGGCACUGAAUCUGGAUGUGUAAUGCAGUUAUUAUAAUUCAUCUUCGUUUUACCAGAGGUUAUUAUUUGGAGUAUCACAUGUCCUGUUAAAAAAUAUUCACAACCCAUAUAUCAUAGCCAGUUUUGAUAAAAAAAAGCUAUGAAUAUAUAACAAUAGUCAGAGUAUUUUAAUAACAUGGAUAAUAAUACUCAGAUUUUGAUAUUUGAAAUUAAUAUUAAAAGUCAAAACAUGUAUAUUGAAUCUGAGAUGUGUUUAUCUUAGAAACAAUUAACUUUAGUUCUGUUAUAGUUGUAUCAUUUUCCUGUAUUUUUAUGGCUUUAUUGAUUAUGCAUAUAUGUUUUUGCUCAAGCAUUGUUUUAGAAUCAUUUUGCUCUGGAACUGUGUUAUAUGAUUAUUAUUAUUGAAGUUGUGUAUUAUUUUUACAGUUUGAUUUAUUUUAAUAUGACCUAAAACAAGAGCAAUACAUUUCAAACUACCUUGUUACAUUUUAUUUUCUAUUGUAUUUUUUUUUUCUUAUCUGAACACUGCCAAUUUUGCUGUAGUAUUUUACUCUAUAGCAAAACUAUCCUCAGUAUUAAAAUGUUAAUCUCACCACUA